Molecule: non-coding RNA, 69 nt
Organism: Podarcis lilfordi (Lilford's wall lizard)
Lineage: Eukaryota; Metazoa; Chordata; Lepidosauria; Squamata; Lacertidae
Source: the annotation of a GenBank genome assembly
GCUGUAGCUCAAUUGCUGAGUAUCUGCAUUGCAUGCAGAAUAUCCCAGGUUCAAUCCCCGGCAUCUCCA